This 27-nucleotide small nuclear RNA is filed under the name Arabidopsis thaliana (thale cress). Its description in RNAcentral is "snRNA_16833". The record is from RNAcentral. Lineage: Eukaryota; Viridiplantae; Streptophyta; Magnoliopsida; Brassicales; Brassicaceae.
CAAGUACCGCGAGGUAAAGAUGAAAAG